RNAcentral lists this ribosomal RNA (468 nucleotides) under uncultured bacterium. Its description in RNAcentral is "partial 16S ribosomal RNA". It matches the Rfam family "Bacterial small subunit ribosomal RNA", at positions 28 to 507 of the family's 1533-position model. The record is from RNAcentral.
GACGAACGCUGGCGGCGUGCUUAACACAUGCAAGUCGAACGGAAAGGCCCUGCUUUUGUGGGGUGCUCGAGUGGCGAACGGGUGAGUAACACGUGAGUAACCUGCCCUUGACUUUGGGAUAACUUCAGGAAACUGGGGCUAAUACCGGAUAGGAGCUCCUGCUGCAUGGUGGGGGUUGGAAAGUUUCGGCGGUUGGGGAUGGACUCGCGGCUUAUCAGCUUGUUGGUGGGGUAGUGGCUUACCAAGGCUUUGACGGGUAGCCGGCCUGAGAGGGUGACCGGCCACAUGGGGACUGAGAGACGGCCCAGUCUCCUACGUGAGGCAGCAGUGGGGAAUAUUGCACAAUGGGCGCAAGCCUGAUGCAGCAACGCCGCGUGCGUGAUGCCGUCCUUCGGGUUGUAAACCGCUUUCGCCUGUGACGAAGCGUGAGUGACGGUAAUGGGUAAAGAAGCACCGGCUAACUACGUG